RNAcentral lists this transfer RNA (78 nucleotides) under Methanocella paludicola SANAE. RNAcentral describes it as "tRNA-Pro (CGG) (tRNA-Pro-CGG-1-1)". It matches the Rfam family "tRNA". From Rfam's summary of the family: Transfer RNA (tRNA) molecules are approximately 80 nucleotides in length. Their secondary structure includes four short double-helical elements and three loops (D, anti-codon, and T loops). RNAcentral also lists the same sequence under 9 other names. Lineage: Archaea; Methanobacteriati; Methanobacteriota; Methanomicrobia; Methanocellales; Methanocellaceae. The record is from RNAcentral.
GGGAUCGUGGGGUAGCCUGGUCCAUCCUUUCGCGUUCGGGACGCGGAAACCUGAGUUCAAAUCUCAGCGAUCCCACCA